Astyanax mexicanus (Mexican tetra) is the source of this 479-nucleotide long non-coding RNA. RefSeq lists it as uncharacterized. The record is from RefSeq and is a predicted model, not a curated record. Lineage: Eukaryota; Metazoa; Chordata; Actinopteri; Characiformes; Acestrorhamphidae. The transcript is spliced from 3 exons.
AGGGUGCAGGUGAAUUAUGGGAAUUGUAGUGAGAGCUGAUAAUAGAGGGUGCAGGUGAAUUAUGGGAAUUGUAGUGAGAGCUGAUAAUAGUGGGUGCAGAUGAAUUAUGGGAGAUGUAGUGAGGGCUGAUAAUAGUGGCUGCAGGUGAAUUAUGGGAGUUGUUGUGAGGGCUGAUAAUAGUGGGUGCAGGUGAAUUAUGGGAGUUGUAGUGAGGGCUGAUAAUAGUGGGUACAGGUGAAUUAUGGGAGUUGUAGUGGGGGCUGAUAAUAGUGGGUGCAGGUGAAUUAUGGGAGUUGUAGUGAGGGCUGAUAAUAGUGGGUGCAGGUGAAUUAUGGGAGAUGUAGUGAGGGCUGAUAAUAGUGGGUGCAGGUGAAUUAUGGGAGUUGUAGUGAGGGUCUGAUAAUAGUGGGUGCAGGUGAAUUAUGGGAGUUGUAGUGAGGGCUGAUAAUAGUGAUUCCAGGUGAAUUAUGGGAGUUGUA